AAAAUUACCCCAUUCCAUGUUGAUUACCUUCAAAGACCAAGAAAAAAUUAUAUUUAAAGUUACAAAUGUGCAAUGCAUGCUUAGUUUGAUAACAAACAUAACAUUUCCAAAAUAAAAGGAAAACAUUUUUUCAAAAAUGAAUUACGCAUGAAUUAAGCUAGGAAGGUUGUUAUGAAAUUUCACAAGCAUCUACCAUCUCUCCCAAUUUUGGCAAUAGACCAUGCUAUUUCAGAAUAAAAAAGAAAGUUUGGGAGGAUACUGACCGAAUCAAUGACAAAAACUUUCAAUUUCAAUGUUGAUCUAAGUACAGAGACGAUCAAAGAGAUUCCAGUUCAUUGACGUACUAUUAAAUACAGUUGUUUACUUGGUAAAAUAACUCUGAAACUAGGAAAAUCUCAGCUAAUCUCAAUUUAAAAGAAAGUCCAUAUUGGAUGACUCCUGAUGUACUCCCCUCUUUAAAAUUAUACUUGCAGAAACUUUUCUUGUCUCACAAUAAAAAGAAAACUUGAACUCAAGAAUAUACGAUUUCGAGGGGUUCAUUCUCCUACUUCAAGUAUGUCAUCUUGAUGGUUUUUCUCCAAUCCAUUUGUUGCUUAUACUUGAUUGAUUAUUGCUUCAUGUUAAAAUUUGAGAAGAAAAAUAUUUUUUUGGGAAUAAUGACCUCAAUACAAACUAAACCAGUAAUGACAAGCCUCAAGGCCAUUCAAAAUUUUGGGCUUAAAUCUGCAAAUGGUGGCAGAGUCACUUGCAUGGAUACAUACAAAGUGAACAAAUAAGUACUGGAUAUGUGCUAAUUUGUGUUGCUUAUCCAUAGUCUGAUGUUACCAUUGAGACUCGCAAAGAGCAAGAACUCACUGGCUAAUUAAAUUUGGCUCAUGAUCAAAAGCAGAUGUUGGAAAAAUAAUUUUGUUUUCCACAAAGUACUAACUAGCUAGGUGUUUGUUUCUUUGAACUCAGGUUAUUUAUUUAAAGAAAAAAUGAGUUUGGUUCCACUGUCAAGCUUGAUUGAUAUAGAAGUUAAGCUUCAGCUAACUGAAGCCAACACACACUAUCAAAUACAACAAAUGGAAGCCACCAGAUCAAAACUUCUUUAAACUCAACACUGAUGACACUGCUAUCGAUCAGUACCAUCUAUUUUACAACGUUGACAUGCAAAAACAAUGCAGUAAGAUAUAUUUGAAGGUAUAAAGCUCAAUUUUUUUCACUUUUUGACAAAUUUCAUGCUCAUUUUAGCUUAUUUUGGAGAUAAAUUUUAAGAUGAGAGAAGAUCUAAUGACUUGCUGCAAUAUGCAUUGCUAAUAGAACAGUGUCAUGAAUUACACUGUAAUUGCACACACACCACGCUCCUUAGACUCUACUUGUGAAAUUAUACCGAAUUUAUUGUUGUAUUAUACAUAUCCCGGCGAUUUAUUUGGGCAAAAGACUGUUUAUAUAGAAGAAAUGAUUCAUCAAAAUAAUCAGUCACCAUUGAUAUCGAUAAAUCUAUGAUUGCCAAAUGCUCGGGAGUUCCUCUAUUCAAUCUUUUUCCUUCUUGUUGCUGGAUAUCUCUUUCGUACACAUCUUUUCUUUGUUUCCCGGGCCUCUAGUGAGUUACAGAAAGAGUUCGAAAGGGUCAAAUUUUUGAUGAUUCCAUCAUCUAUGAUUGAGUUGCGAAAACUUCUGGAUAGGUAUCCUACAUCUGAACCGAAUUCUUUUUGGUUAAAGAUUAAUCUCCAAGCUGUAAGAUAAGAAAUAAAUCUCCCCUUAAGAGCAAGGGAACCAUCCUCCCACUCUAUAACCAGCUCACAAGGAAACUUAAAGAUAACUUUACGGGUUCGACAAUCUAUGUACGCAUAACAAGAGUAACUAAUCCAUUCCUAGAAUAACAUCAAAAUCCACCAUAUCCAAUUCAAACAUAUCCACCAAAGUCUGGCUACUACCAACAGAUACCACACCCCCUAUAGACCCUUUUAGCAAUCACAGAGUCACCUACCAGGGUAGAAACUAAAAAAGGAUCUAAAAUAACCUCGAGAUCAAAACCAAAAUACUCAGCCACAAAUGGGGUCACAUAAGAGAGAGUGGACCUCUAAUCUAGCAAACAAUACACGUCCCAAGAACAGGGUUGUAAUGUACUAAUAACGACAUCUGGUGAUGCCUCGGAUUCUUGCCAACUAGCAAGAGCAUAUUACCUAUUCUGACUUGCAUCGGCACUAGAAGAAAAAACAGAUGUAGAAGUAACACCCGUAGGUGCGAGAGCAGAAGAUGAAGCUAUUGGAGCCUUACUCACCCUCGAAACACUCUUACCAACCAGAUAGUUUCUAAGUAUAUGGCAUGGAUUUCCAUAUUUGAAACACCUAUCCCCCCCCCCCCCAAUCAUAGAAACCCCUAUGUAGCCUACCACGAAACAGGUAAAGAGGGCAUCAUGAGGCUGACUGAGCCCCACUUUCUUGAGAUUGGGCACUUUGUGCCCAAAAGUUAUUGCCACCUUGCUGACACCUAUCACCCGACUAUUUCGAGUAAGGACCACUAGCUGAAAAGAAAGAACCAAAACUCUCCCACUUCUUCUUUAGCCACUUAUCGUCGUCUCAACCACCUUCCUGUUAAUCACCACCCUGUUCAAAUAACUGAACCUCUUACCCUGCCUUUCCCCUAACUUAGCCUGUUUGCUCUUUUCUUCCUCUAGCUAUUGCAUAUAACAACCAACCUAAAGAUAUCCAUAUCUUUGAUCAGCAAUGCAAUCUUUGGAUUUUCUAGGAUUAAAUCUCAAGAUAGACCAGAAGUGAACUUUCUCAUCUUUGCCCUCAUAUUGGAUACCAAUUUCGGAGCAUACCUAGAUAGUUGAUGAAAUUUCAAGGCAUAUUCUUUGACCGAUAUUUUCCCUUGGCUCAGAUAAAAAAAAUCCUCCAACUUUGCUUCCCUCAACUCCUGAGGAAAAAAGCAAUCCAGAAAAGCAUUAGAAAAAGUCUCCCAUAAAGUUGACUCCUCAAUAUCACCUAUCACCCUAUCCAACUCCUUGUACCAUUGGUAUGCCAUAUUCCUAAGCUGGUAGGCAGUACUACCCCUUCCACAUUCGUGGCUUGUAUCACCCUGAAGAUUUUCUCUAUUUCAUCCAAGAAACCUUGAGGAUCCUCCUCUACCUUCACACCAGAAAAAGUAAGAGGAUUCAUCUUCAUAAAAAGGCCAAUCCUUGUGGCCUCAGCAGAUGAAAGAUGCAUCCCACUCAGUCUGAACAGUAACCAACUGAACAAUAACAUGAAUUUCUUAAAGAAAUUUCAUAUUCAUUACCUCACCCUGAGGAAGACUAGUAGCAACUGGUGGUACUCCAGAACAAUUAGGGACUAGACCUCUAGAUCGAGUAUGGAUCCAUUGAUUAAACCGUGUCCCUUUAAAAUUAUCCCUAGAUGGAAAAAAAGAGUUACCUUAAAUCUCAGAUCAUUGAGGCAUACUGUAAAAUAUGAGCAAACCAAGAUUAGAGAAGAUUCCAAUACUUAGACUUCGAGAUUGACAAUAGAAUACCAAGAAAGUGAGACAUUUCUAAAUGCCUUGUAGCCUCUCUUUUAUGAGUGUGUCACACUACACAUUAUUAAAAGAGACUAUACUCAACACGAAUUUGUGGACUCCCAAUUGACCAUGAACCUAAGCCUUUGAUACCAACUUGACACGACCCAAACUAGGGCCUUGUCGUAAUGGCAAUCCCAAGUCCAACCAGGACUGAGGACCACCCCCGCUACCCAACUUAACCUCCAAAUACACAUACCCUAAGGCGGAUGAACUAGAACAUAUAACAAGAUAGAGUUUAUUACCAUUCCAAACUCUGGAAUAGGUCUAUAACCAUGACGAACCCAAACAAGUCCAACCAUCCAUUACCAACCAACAACUAUAACCAACCCAAUAUAAAAACUAAGUUCCUGUCCAUAACUUAACAUAAAAGGAUGGAACAAUCAUAAAUUUAAUCCAAUAGUAUUAGCCCUAAUACCAAUGCCAAUACUAAGGCUGACAUCAAUACCGACACCACUCAUUUCAACCCAUAGUAGUUCCACAAAGCCUCUACCCGCUACCCAACUUAACCUCCAAAUACACAUACCCUAAGGCGGAUGAACUAGAACAUAUAACAAGAUAGAGUUUAUUACCAUUCCAAACUCUGGAAUAGGUCUAUAACCAUGACGAACCCAAACAAGUCCAACCAUCCAUUACCAACCAACAACUAUAACCAACCCAAUAUAAAAACUAAGUUCCUGUCCAUAACUUAACAUAAAAGGAUGGAACAAUCAUAAAUUUAAUCCAAUAGUAUUAGCCCUAAUACCAAUGCCAAUACUAAGGCUGACAUCAAUACCGACACCACUCAUUUCAACCCAUAGUAGUUCCACAAAGCCUCUAACCAAAAGAAAAAUAAUAUCCAUUUGGGAUAUGCCCCAACCAUAGCUAUAACCACUAUCCAUAAAAUAACUAAAUUAUGUAAAGUCAUCCAUGAUAUGAAAUAAUGCCUUCUAAAAUAUGGAAGCUCACCACUUUAAUCUAAUAUCUAAUCAUGAAUUCGAUCACUAAAAAGGAGGAGUAAAAUAGUCGAUUCCUGCAUUACAUGGGGAUUAGCCACCCGAAAAAGGGGUAGCAGGUGAAUGCACAUGAAAUCAAGAAGGAUAAAAUAAUGCUAUCCAGUAAAAACAAGUAAACCAACCCUAUGCAUACAAACCAUACAUAUAUAAAUAUAUCCAUGUCGGGAAAGGGAGCCAGGUUUAGCAUGCCUUUAAAACCAUUAACCUGGGUACAUGUAUCUUAACCUUUCUAGAACUACCCAUGGGCUAUAUAGGUCCAGUAUAACCCCUGAAUGCACCUUGAUGCAUGUAGCUGCACGAACAAGAAAUACCAUAAGGGUAGGGAAUUCCCAAUUACCCUUUGCUCUCCAUGAUACAUAUGUACUGUGUACUUAGAGGAUUCCUAUGUGCCUCCUAGUAUCAUAUAUGGUCUCCAUGACCAACCCCUCAUGUUGUCAAAUAUGAUUUCCCAGUUUCCAUCCAUUGGACUCGCACCUUCAUAGUUAGCUAUCACGCCCUGCUAUUAUUUCCAAAUUAAAACCAUUUUCACCCAACCAAACUAUUACACCAUUAUUAUUAACCAAGGCUAUGAGUAGGGGUAUCAUCAUACCGACUGUAGCUUGCAAGCAAUUUUCUUCGCCAAUAUUUUUUUGUAAAGUGAUUCCCAUGUUCCCAUAAAUUACAUUAUCAAUUUAAAUUGGGGGAAUCCCGUGUACCCCAUAAGUGUUCCAUUAUUUUGUUUGCUUGGGGGAAUCCCAUAUACCCCAUAAGGUGUUCAUUUCCAUGUCUACUGGGGGGGUUCCCUUGUAUCCCUCAAGGAAGUUUAAUUAACCAUAACCAUGACCACUAAACCUUACCAUUUUACCUAUCCAAACUAUUUAAACCAUUUAUGCCAUUUUGGGUUCCAUUACCAAACCAUAACAUACAAUAGUUCCAUUGAAAGUCCAAUAAUAUAGUAAAAGCAUUAUCAAAGGCAUUUUAUCAAACAUGUUGGGGGCAUAGUGUUUCUAAAACCAAUUCCAAUUACCAAUUAACCAUUCCCAUACAACUGAUUAUCCAAACCACCAUUAAAGCAUAUAAAAAUAUAAUUAAAACAUGGGAAAACCAUAACUAAACAUUAAAUACUAGAACCCCAACAUAUAUUUGAAAACCCCAAAACUAUACAAUAAUCAUGCUAUGAAAGCAUUAUAUAAAACAUGCAUUUAGUUGGAACUAGCAACAAGGGAGGAGUAUAUACCUUCGAUUACGAAGAUGACAUAGAGAAAUCACUUAUAAAAGCCCCCGAUUAAUCCUCAUGAUGAAACGGUAGCCUUCCUUUAGCAAAGACCCUUAGAGAGAAUUUGAGAGAGUUUCUAAGUGUUUUAGAUUAGAAUAAUCGGGUAAAUAAUGUCCCAAAAGAGUUAUAGUUGUGGGCCUUAAGUGGUUAAGUGGGGAAAUGUCCAGACUACCCCAACUUAACCCGCUUAAAAUUUUCGUUAGAUGGUACGACUACCCCAUACUACUCGUACCCUUCGAUACGAGUGGUAUCCACCACUUGUACCCUAGGCCUCCCUAUUAGACCUAACACUGUCCACCAUAUGAAUUGCCCAAACCAUGUCAUACCCAAACCAUAUGAUUAGUACCCCUAAAUCGUACCCCUUACAGAAUAAAAUCAACAGAAGUUUGAGAAUUGUCUACCAUACGAGUCAAUGGUAUAAGUUUUACCCUAACUUACGACUCAUGGCGAUCCAUUCAUAUUCAGAUCAAAGUUAAGUUACUAAGUCUCUGAUUAAGUGAAGGAAAAACCCAAACCAUACGUGUAACACCCCAAUUUUUUGAAACCAGAAUGACACACAGUGCUCAUGAUCCCAAAGGACCACAAGUUAACCCUCUGCUAGUACCUAUAACUGAGCAUUGAAUAAUAUACUAAAAUAAAUGCGGAAAACUGGCAAAAACUUACCAUAAGAUUCAAAACUUCUAAAAUACUCAAAACUGAAAACUGAAUACUGAUACAUUUGUUUGAAAAGCCUCUAAACUAUCUGAACUAUGGAUUUGAUGGGACAUGUCCCUAACUAACUCCAUCUGCUAAAAAUAAAUUGAAUGUAAUACCAUAAUAAAAUAUGAAUCAUUCUCGAAUGAAGAGGACUCAUUGCUACGUCAUGACUGAGUCAGGACUGCUAUGGGUGUCCUGGGUCCCGUACGUUUGAACCUAUGGUGUAAGACACCAUAGCGUAGGAAAGUAUGCGUUAGUAAUUUGAAUGUACUAAUAUGCCAGAUGAGUUAAGGUUGAAUACAAGGGCUUAUGCAUGAACAUUGCUUAACUGAAUAACAUGAGAAUACUGAAGGGGGAUAUAUGCAUGAACGUAUAAACCAAAACUGGAAUUGUAGUAACACUGAAUACGAACUCUGAGUACUGGUUUUUAAAUAAUAACUUACUGAGUUUACUAAUACUGAUAUCUGUAUUUACUAACACUGAGAGUCUGAAUAACUGAGUUUACUGAUAACUGAACUCUAAGCUUACUAAUAUUGGCUGAUUUAAAUUGAGAUCAAACCUAUCUAGCGGAUAAUCUUUAAAUCUAGUAAUAAUUAUAAGGAAGGAUUGAAUCGGAGUUUGAGAUCAGGCCUAUCUAGCGGGCGAUCUCUGAAUCGAUUAAUACUGAUACUGGUUAACUUUAUGUGAGACCAAGCCUUUCUAACGGGUGGUCUAUAAAUCUAUGGAACCAUCUUAGAUUCUCACUGAGCUGAAUGACCAUAUCUAACAGUCCUGAUUUUCGAGUGCUACUGUGAUGACUGAGACUGAACUGUAACUGUGGAAGUUCUCACUUAACCAACAUGCCCCAAUCUGAACUAAUGGGGUACAAUCUGUAACCCCAACUGGAAGGGUGUUAGUACCAUGCCACGUCUAUAGAUACUACUAUGGUCUAGCCUCUUUAACGGGUGACCCUGAACAGAAAGUCAAGCCUAAAGCAAUGGGUAACUCCUAGAAGGUAGUCAAGCCUUAAUCUAGUGAGUGGCUCCUGAUCAGGAAGUCAGGCUUAAGGAAAUGGGUGACUCCUAGAAGGUAGUCAAGCCUUAAUCUAGAGGGUGACUCCUAAUCCCACGUUGGCUACGCAUUUCUGAAGUACAGAGAUUGCUGCUAACGACUCUACCUCUCUAAUGGGAAAACCAUCAUCCUUGUACUCGCUCGAUGCUAGUUCCUACUCCUAACUGAAAGACUUUGAACUGAUUCUUAAUUGAACUUAGAUGGAGCUGAAUCUAUUAUUGACUAUAUUACUUGACUGAUCUGUCUGAGUUUGCUUAGUUCCAUUAUCUGAUGAAAUGCUGCUCGGAUUCUACAAUAUGACUGAAUGCUACUAAAUUCUUGUUAGCUUACUGAGUUUCACUGAAGCCUAAACUGAAUACUGAAUACUACCAAAUACUAUUGUACCAGUACUAAAUACUUAGUUUGAUUAGACUGAUACUAAGAAUGAAUUGCACUAAUACUAAGAUUACUGAAUUUUCUUACAUUCUGUAACUGUCUGAAUUCUACUAAUCAUGGCUUGAUUUAGAGUAUCUUGAACCUGACAAUGGCUGUAGAAUUGCAGCUAAUUUGUUGGGUAUAAAUAUCCCUAGGACUCGAUAACAUCAAAGUUAAACAUAACCAUUCUUGAAUAACCAUGACAAUGGACUUUCAUUUACCAUUACAAUCACUAAAGCAUUUCUUCAAGCACUUGGGAAUCUUAAAACGUGUAAAGAUAUAGGGAUGCAUACUAAUUUAUCAUAACUCAUUCAAUAAGGAAUGCACAAACAUAAGAAUGCAUGCAACAUAUCAUAAUUCACUUACUAAGACAUUUCAACAAACACUUGGCAUACAUGAAUUUAUACACAAUUUGGGGAUUUCUUGUCAUCAUGCUAUAAUGACCCUAUUUACUUCACAUGAUCAUUUUAUCAAACAUAUGGGAGCAUGCUUUGGUUAUACAACAAAUACUAUACCUAAGUAUCAUGAUUUCAUCAACCAACAUGCAACUUAAUGAGGGAUUAUCAUGAACAUCACAUAAUUAAUCACAUGCUAGAAUCAGUUGUUAAUACCUGUAGUCUAAAUCAUGAAUUAAAACUCAACAACACAUAAUCAUAAACUUCAAUACAUAUAAAUCAUGAAAUCUCAUAAAUAUAUAAACUUUGUAAUUUUGAAAAGGAUUCUUGGACUUCUUAGGUGGAAGGAAUCCAAGAAUAAACAUCUAACAUACCUUAGAGACUAUUUCUUGAAGGUUCUUGGAGAGAUUCUUGGUUUCUUGUAUUUUCUUGAAGAAGGGUUUUGAUCUUGUUCUUAGUAAUUGAUCUUUGAGAGAAACCCUAAUUUGAUGUUAUAGAUUAAUAAUGAAGUUAUGAGCCUUAAUCUGAUAUAAAUAGGUGUUAAAAAGGGUGGAAAAAAUCAAAAAACCCUUACUAAAAUGACUAAAAAUCACUGAACGAGAUAUGCGAUGGUGGGUGCAACAGUCCGUCGAGGGACCGAUGGUCCAUCGGUCCUGACCAUCGUACGUGGUGAGAACUGGGUUCACUGCCUCAUCGGCGAUGGUUUAUCGCUGGCCCAACGGUCCGUCGACCUUACCAUCACGCUUAACCAAAAUGAGAUCUCACUGUCUCCUCUGCGAUGGUUUGGGCGAUGGUCCAUCGCUUACUCAAUGACCCGUCGACCCCUUUUCAUCACACCUGGGCGGUUCUGACUGCCUUCUAUAAUUUGGCCAUAACUUUCUAUUCUGACAUAGAAUUUUGACUAAAUGGGUAUCUUUGGAAAGAGAAUUCAAUUUCCUAAAUGAUAAAAAGUUAAAAUUAUGAAAAUUCAAUAUGGUUUAAGCACUACUCACUUUAGAAGUCAUCUCUUAAUCUUAUAGAGAUAGAAAUAAGCUUUAAGGAAGUUCGGGGUUUUACAAUAUCUCCCCCUUGGGAACAUGUAUCAUCAAAUGUCACUUGUUAGGCUAAGAGUACUGAUCGACUGAACUUACUUAAGGGACGUGAACAUUUGAAACCUGACUAUGUGACAUAAAACUACUGAUAUUUUGAGUUCUUAUACUGGACAUGCAUAUCUGAUGCAUGGACUACUCGACUAAAGCAAAUCAUAGGUUAAAUUCUCAUAAUGGACAUGCAUAUCUGAUGCAUGGAUGCAUGACUGAGUUUCUCUCAGUAAUGCAUGACUGUGUACACUGAAAAACUGAACUUUUUCUACUGAACAUACAUAUCUAAUGCAUGAAUAUAACUGAUUCUUGAAUGCAUGACUGAAUAUGCUAUGAUAACUGGUAUUAACUUCGUAAGGAAAGUCUAAACAUGCAACUAAAUAAGUUUAAGGACAUGAAAGCAUCAGAAUAUUAUGGGGUAUCUCCCCCUUGGGACUCUAUGUCCCUUUAAGAAUAUUUCGCUGAAAUAUUAAGGUGAAGCACAGGGCACCUACAAAUUGGGUCAUAAUUGAUCGUCUAAGAUCUGAAACUGAUGCAUAAUAUGUGAACUGAGCUAUACUCACAACUACUAGGAUACUCUAUCUUGGAAUAGUUACAUUUCGGAGAUUUCUGAUAGUAUGAUUAGAUAAAGAGAUAGGAAUACAAGCAUCUGACUACUAUACUGAAUUACUGGCUGAUCAAACUAACUCAUACUGAAAACUUAAGCUUAUGUGGGAGUAAAGGAUCUAACAAUGCAUAUCAUGAAGAUAAAAGACUCGUAACGUAC
RNAcentral lists this long non-coding RNA (10187 nucleotides) under Capsicum annuum. Its description in RNAcentral is "long non-coding RNA (CANN_LNC017064)". The record is from RNAcentral. Lineage: Eukaryota; Viridiplantae; Streptophyta; Magnoliopsida; Solanales; Solanaceae.